Molecule: ribosomal RNA, 253 nt
Filed under: uncultured bacterium
Lineage: Bacteria
Description: partial 16S ribosomal RNA
Rfam family: Bacterial small subunit ribosomal RNA
Source: RNAcentral
UACGGGGGGGGCAAGCGUUGUUCGGAAUUACUGGGCGUAAAGGGCUCGUAGGCGGCCAACUAAGUCGGACGUGAAAUCCCCAGGCUCAACCGGGGAACUGCGUGUGAGACUGGAUGGCUUGAGUUUGGGAGAGGAAUGCGGAAUUCCAGGUGUAGCGGUGAAAUGCGUAGAUAUCUGGAGGAACACCGGUGGCGAAGGCGGCAUUCUGGACCAAUACUGACGCUGAGGAGCGAAAGCCAGGGGAGCAAACGGG